Molecule: transfer RNA, 72 nt
Filed under: Bos taurus (domestic cattle)
Lineage: Eukaryota; Metazoa; Chordata; Mammalia; Artiodactyla; Bovidae
Also listed under: 1 other name
Rfam family: tRNA
About the family: Transfer RNA (tRNA) molecules are approximately 80 nucleotides in length. Their secondary structure includes four short double-helical elements and three loops (D, anti-codon, and T loops). Further hydrogen bonds mediate the characteristic L-shaped molecular structure. tRNAs have two regions of fundamental functional importance: the anti-codon, which is responsible for specific mRNA codon recognition, and the 3' end, to which the tRNAs corresponding amino acid is attached (by aminoacyl-tRNA synthetases). tRNAs cope with the degeneracy of the genetic code in two manners: having more than one tRNA (with a specific anti-codon) for a particular amino acid; and 'wobble' base-pairing, i.e. permitting non-standard base-pairing at the 3rd anti-codon position.
Source: Rfam by way of RNAcentral
UCCCCAAUGACUCAGCAGGUAAAGAAUUUGCCUGCAAUGCAGGAGACUCAGGUUCAAUUCCUGGUUCAGGAA